ACACAAACUGCCUGGGGCUCUUGUUCAAAGGCAAACUCUAAUUCAUCAGUUCUGGAGCCCGGCCUCAGUUCUGCAUUUCUAACAAGCUCUCAAGUGAUGCUGGU
RNAcentral lists this microRNA precursor (104 nucleotides) under Marmota monax (woodchuck). Lineage: Eukaryota; Metazoa; Chordata; Mammalia; Rodentia; Sciuridae. The record is from RNAcentral.